AUGGAGGCUCCACACCUUCCCUUUUCUUGCAAAUUUAAUGAUAAUGAAACCUUAGCUUCUUAUGCUAAUGGUUUAUAUGAUAACUAUGAUGUGGAACAAAUAGAAGAAUUUGUUGCUUUUAAGGCUGCUUAUGAAAUUGAAGCUUUGUUUGAAAAGUAUGAAGCUUUUGAUGAUGAUGGUUAUAGGCCUGAAAAUCUUGCUAUACUUAUAUAUUGCUAUGAAAAUUAUGAAUACAACUACUAUAUUUAUUCUUUUAUGAAGAAAGUCUCCGCUGUCCAAGAAGAGAUUAAUAUUUUGCAGGAAGCUAUGGAAGAAGAAAUUGAUGAAACAUUGAUCUCAUUGGAUGAAAAAGAUGAAGAGGGGAGCGAAGAACAAAAGGAGGAAGAGCGGAUUAGCUACACGUGCCCACCUUCUAAUGAGAGUAACUCUUCAACUCAUACAUUGUUUAAUUCCCCUUCAUGCUUACCGAAGGAUGAUUGCUAUGGUCCCUUGAAUUUGUUUGAAAUAUCCCUUUUUGAUGAUGCUUGCUAUGCUUGUGGCCAGGAUGCCAAUAUGAAUUAUGCUUAUGGAGAUGAACUUGCUAUAGUUCCUUAUGUUAAACAUGAAAUUGUUGCUAUUGCACCCACGCAUGAUAGUCCCAUUAUCUUUUUCAAUUCUCCCAACUACAGUAUAUCAAAGAAGUUUGUGCUUAUUAAGGAUUAUAUUGAUGGGUUGGCUUUUACCAUUUCAAAUGAUGAUUUUGAUAGAUAUAAUAUGCACGUGCUUGCUGCUCCUACUUGCAAUUAUUAUGAGAGAGGAACUACAUCUCCGCCUCUUUAUGUUUCCAACACGAUAGAAUUGCAAGAAACUGCUUAUACUAUGCAUUGGCCUUUACUUGGUGUGCAUGAAUUGUUCUUUUAUGGCAUGCCGAUGCAUAAGAAGAGAGUUUGA
This 930-nucleotide ribosomal RNA is filed under the name Triticum aestivum (bread wheat). Its description in RNAcentral is "partial small subunit ribosomal RNA". Lineage: Eukaryota; Viridiplantae; Streptophyta; Magnoliopsida; Poales; Poaceae. The record is from RNAcentral.